This 69-nucleotide transfer RNA is filed under the name Brillia bifasciata. RNAcentral describes it as "tRNA-Cys". Lineage: Eukaryota; Metazoa; Arthropoda; Insecta; Diptera; Chironomidae. The record is from RNAcentral.
GGCUUUAUAUUCAUAUUAAUGAUAUUAGACUGCAAUUCUGAAGGAGUAAUAAAAUUUUACUAAAGCUUA